UGCCUUUUCUUUGAGUAGCUGUCCGCAGACAGGUGGAGCUGCCAAAUAAAGGGUGAU
This 57-nucleotide microRNA precursor is filed under the name Schmidtea mediterranea. RNAcentral's name for it is "Sme-Mir-2159_pre stem-loop". The record is from RNAcentral. Lineage: Eukaryota; Metazoa; Platyhelminthes; Tricladida; Dugesiidae.